RNAcentral lists this transfer RNA (72 nucleotides) under Astyanax mexicanus (Mexican tetra). It matches the Rfam family "tRNA". From Rfam's summary of the family: Transfer RNA (tRNA) molecules are approximately 80 nucleotides in length. Their secondary structure includes four short double-helical elements and three loops (D, anti-codon, and T loops). Further hydrogen bonds mediate the characteristic L-shaped molecular structure. tRNAs have two regions of fundamental functional importance: the anti-codon, which is responsible for specific mRNA codon recognition, and the 3' end, to which the tRNAs corresponding amino acid is attached (by aminoacyl-tRNA synthetases). tRNAs cope with the degeneracy of the genetic code in two manners: having more than one tRNA (with a specific anti-codon) for a particular amino acid; and 'wobble' base-pairing, i.e. permitting non-standard base-pairing at the 3rd anti-codon position. Lineage: Eukaryota; Metazoa; Chordata; Actinopteri; Characiformes; Acestrorhamphidae. The record is from Rfam by way of RNAcentral.
GGGGAUGUAGCUCAGUGGUAGAGCGCAUGCUUUGCAUGCAUGAAGUCGUGGGUUCAAUCCCCAGUAUCUGCU